Molecule: ribosomal RNA, 205 nt
Filed under: uncultured bacterium
Lineage: Bacteria
Description: partial 16S ribosomal RNA
Rfam family: Bacterial small subunit ribosomal RNA
Source: RNAcentral
GACGUAGGGCGCGAGCGUUGUCCGGAUUUAUUGGGCGUAAAGAGCUCGUAGGCGGCUUGUCGCGUCGACUGUGAAAUCUCAGGGCUCAACCCUGACAUUGCAGUCGAUACGGGCAGGCUGAGAGUUCGGUAGGGGAGUACUGGAAUUCCGUGGUGUAGGACGGUUCGGAAAUGCGCAGGAUAAUCAGGAGGAACACCGAUGGCGA